GAGGGCAUAGCUCCACGGUAAAGCACAUGCUUAUUUAGCACGCACAAGGUCCUGGGUUCAAUUCCCAGUGCCUUCA
RNAcentral lists this transfer RNA (76 nucleotides) under Camelus ferus (Wild Bactrian camel). It matches the Rfam family "tRNA". Rfam says of the family: Transfer RNA (tRNA) molecules are approximately 80 nucleotides in length. Their secondary structure includes four short double-helical elements and three loops (D, anti-codon, and T loops). The record is from Rfam by way of RNAcentral. Lineage: Eukaryota; Metazoa; Chordata; Mammalia; Artiodactyla; Camelidae.